UACGGAGGAUGCAAGCGUUAUCCGGAUUUAUUGGGUUUAAAGGGUGCGUAGGCGGAAAAAUAAGUCAGUGGUGAGAACCUGCAGCUUAACUGUAGAACUGCCAUUGAUACUGUUAUUCUUGAGUAUGGUCAAGGUAGGCGGAAUGUGUAAUGUAGCGGUGAAAUGCUUAGAUAUUACACAGAACACCGAUUGCGAAGGCAGCUUGCUGGGCCAUUACUGACGCUCAUGCACGAAAGCGUGGGGAUCGAACAGG
Molecule: ribosomal RNA, 253 nt
Filed under: uncultured bacterium
Lineage: Bacteria
Description: partial 16S ribosomal RNA
Rfam family: Bacterial small subunit ribosomal RNA
Source: RNAcentral